Globicephala melas (long-finned pilot whale) is the source of this 3240-nucleotide non-coding RNA. Lineage: Eukaryota; Metazoa; Chordata; Mammalia; Artiodactyla; Delphinidae. The record is from RefSeq and is a predicted model, not a curated record.
UAUAGCAAAGUGACUCAUUUAUAGGUAUAUAUAUUCUUGUUCAUAUUCUUUUCCAUUAUGAUUUAUCACAGGAUAUUGAAUGCAGUUCCCUGUGCUAUACAGUAGGACCUUGUUGUUUAUCCUUCCUAUAUAUACUAGUUUGCAUCUGCUAAUCCCAAACUCCCUCCCCCAAAUCCCCUCCCCCUUGGCAACCACAAGUCUGUUCUCUGUGUCUGUGAGUCUGUUUCUGUUGUGUAGACAUAUUCAUUUGUGUUGUAGUUUGGACUCCACAUACUCUAUCACUUUAAAUAUGUACAAAGUUGCUCUUUUUAUGUAUAACUGUGUGCACGAUAUGUUAACAUUGUCUGAUCCUUUUUUACUGUUUCUGUUGCUCUUCCCAGUUAUGGAAACUGCUAUAAACUUUGAGUAGGAUUGUCUGUGUAUUUGUCUGUGUUCUUUUUAGAUGAAUUCUAGUUCAAGUAAACUGGAGUGAAACCCAAGCUCUACCAUUUUAUGAAUGUUUGACAAAAUAUUCUCAAAAAAAGGAAGAGUAACAUUAUGUUUCUUCAAUUAUUUAUGUGGUGCAUUCAAUAAUAUGUUAAAAAAGGUAGAAAGCUAUAUUAUAUAUCAUAAAUAUUGAGAAAGAAUUGUUGCCGGUAUGCUUACUAUUCUAUUAGACCUGCAAAAUCCAUUAAACACUUUAAGUUCAAAGUUAACCAUAGAUUGUUACCAUGCUGUUCUACUGUUAUGGUAUCAAAAUAUGUGGUACAUGGACCAGAGACAUUGGCAUUACUAGUUAAAAGUGAGCUUGUUAAAAAUGUGGAACUCAGGCUCCACUCCAGAGCUCUUGAGUCAAAAAUCUGCAUUUUUACAUUAUCCCCAGUUUGCUUUCUUAUGUAUUAAAAUAUGACAGUUUUACUUCUAACUCAUUAUGACUUUUCCACCUGAGAAAUAUAUACAGUUUAUCCUGUGUAAUGGAAGUACAACAUUCAAAAAUGCAUAUGCCUGUGUUGAUGCCAUCAUUUUAUAAUUUCUCUUCAAGAUAAUAAUAGUCUCUACAGUGGUGUCAUGAAUCAUAUGUCAUCCUCUUUUCUUGGAGUUAGAAAUAUGACACAGAACAUUUCUGUGUAAAAAAAAUUAUUUUAUUGCAUAAUUCAAGACACUGUCCUAAAUCAAACCAGUUCUCUUAACUUGCUGUUUUCAUCUUGGGUCAAAUAAUGAACUCUUCCCAUUGCCACUUGGCAAAUGUACUCUUUAAUCUCAGGGACUGUUGACAUUCACAAAUGUGGCCAUAGAAUUUUCUCAGGAUGAGUGGGAAUGCCUGAUCUUGUUCACAAGAAUGUGAUGUUAGAGAACUAUAGGAACCUGGUCUCCUUGGGUGUGGAUAACUUCCUUCCAGAAUUCCUUAUCCGUCCACAGGGUUUUGGUUCCUUCGUUUGUAGAAAGUCUCCUGGAAUCUUCUGUGUCCUACAAUAGAGUUUCAGAUCCCUGCUUUCAAGGAAAAAAUGGGAGUUUGUGGAUAUAGACAGAAAGGCUGCAUGAUGAUUCAUCAUAAUUCCGACCUUCUUUCUUGAGGUCCCCUUUUUGGAGUAAAAGAAGAAUCCCUGAGAUGUGAAGGGAAUGGAGACAGUAGCUGUAUAACCAGGUACGUGCGAAUGGAUGAAGCAGAUGACACAGGUGCGAGGUCCAAAGAUCGCAGAGGAAGUCAUAUCUUAUAAUAUGGCUUGGGAAGGCAUGCUUCAAUGGAAAUGAUAUUUGCGAAGCCUAGAUUUAUUUCUGUUGCUGUCAUAGAGGGGCAUCUCCUGCUCCCGUCUUAGGCUCUUAAAUCCUCCGUGUAUUCGUCUUCAGCCCCAGUGAUUAUCCCUCACAUUCACAGUGAGAGCCAAAAUCCUCCUCUUGGCCUGUGAUGACCCUCAUGACCUGACUGCUGUUCAGUUGCUUUGGAGGUUCUAGGGAAAACUGUUUACAUUUCUGAGUAACUCUGUGUUAAGUUCUGUUUCUGCCUCAAGUCAGAACUGUGUGAGGAGAAUCAUGGAGAUAUUGGGAUUAGGUGACAAAAUUCUUGGAAUACCCAAUCCAAUGGAAACUUCAAACAUGACCCUACAAAGUUCAGACUCAGUCAUUUCAUCAUAGCAUCAAGCAUCUCCCCAGAAUUAUAGAAUGUAAUUGUCCAUUUUACUUCCAAUGAACUAACAUGAGACAUUUUUACUUUCUAUGAACUAACGUGAGACAUUUUAAGUGUACUUUCCCAAUCUAUCAAUGGUAGAAUAACUUAAUAUGUUUAUUUAUCUCAUAGAAGUCUUGAAUAUGUUCAUUCCAUAGCAGCGCUUGGAACAUUGGCUACCGUAUUUUAAAGUCCCAAUUGUUGUUUAGUUUCCUAAUAACUGUAAUUUUAUAAGUCUGCCUUAUUUAAUAUGGCGUUAUGCUUGCUGUGUCCUGUAUUUUUUCACUUUCUCAUUAGUUCUGUGUCAAAAUCAUACAUGAUUUUAGAUUCAAAAGAUCUAGUAUAACAUGCUCAGAUGAAAACGUCUUUGGUAAGAAGGGCCUUAGAUAAUUAGAAGGCACCCUGUAUUUGUGAAAAUCUGUGGUUCCUUUCUCCAACCAAAAAGUAGUCAUCUUAUUCAUUUACUUUCCUCAGUGUGUAUCUGAAUCAUGGUAUGAUGUGAUCACAACUAUUAUUUUAUAUAUCGAUGAUUCUCUGCAGAUUUUACAACUUUCAUGUUCUUUUAUUUUUAAAUAAGGUUUUAUUUUUCUUCUAAAGUAUGGGUUACAGCCUUGAUAAUUUGUGUAUGUAUAGCAGUAAUAAUAACAUGACAAAUUUCUCUGCUGUUAUUUAAAUAAUUCAUUCAAAUUUUCCAUUAGAGAUUUUUAAAUGAUUCAUUGUAAUGCAUUUUCUGUGAAAUUCUCCUGCCUUGCAACACAUGCCAGUGAUUCAGAAUGGUUGCUUUAUGCGUGCAUAAACCAUUUCGAAAUUAUAGUAUUUAGAAGGAUUAUAUUUUAAUAGUAUAUACAUGAUUUUUCAGAAAUUGAGAGUAAAAUUUUCUCUUAUUCUUGUUUAGCAAUUCCAUAACUAUUUGCUUUUUUUUUUUAAAUGAUAGGUUCUCCCGAGUUAGUUAAUUGUAUUUUUGUCUUUACCUGUAUUUCAUGAAUGUACAUGGCAAUUUUCAACUCAGUACACUUAAGACAGUGUGGUGUUGCAUUCAAAUUUGAAUGUCCCAUAUGUCCACUGCCAAUAAAAUUAUGCAUGUCUUUGUCUUUUAA